RNAcentral lists this ribosomal RNA (442 nucleotides) under uncultured Bacteroidales bacterium. RNAcentral describes it as "bacterial SSU rRNA". It matches the Rfam family "Bacterial small subunit ribosomal RNA", at positions 28 to 463 of the family's 1533-position model. The record is from RNAcentral. Lineage: Bacteria; Pseudomonadati; Bacteroidota; Bacteroidia; Bacteroidales.
GAUGAACGCUAGCGACAGGCUUAACACAUGCAGGUCGAGGGGCAGCGGGGUGUAGCAAUACACUGCCGGCGACCGGCGCACGGGUGCGUAACACGUGUGCAACUUACCUGCAACAGGGGGAUAGGCUCUCGAAAGAGAGAUUAAUACCGCAUAAAACAGGGGUUCCGCAUGGGACUAUUUGUUAAAGAUUUAUCGGUUGUAGAUAGGCACGCGCAACAUUAGGUAGUUGGUGAGGUAACGGCUCACCAAGCCCACGAUGUUUAGGGGUUCUGAGAGGAAGGUCCCCCACACCGGAACUGAGACACGGUCCGGACUCCUACGGGAGGCAGCAGUGAGGAAUAUUGGUCAAUGGUCGAGAGACUGAACCAGCCAAGUCGCGUGAAGGAUGAAGGCGUUAUGCGUUGUAAACUUCUUUUGUAGAGGAAUAAAGUGUGGUACGUGU